CGCGAAGAACCUUACCUGGUCUUGACAUCCCUCUGACCGCUCUAGAGAUAGAGUUUUCCUUCGGGACAGAGGUGACAGGUGGUGCAUGGUUGUCGUCAGCUCGUGUCGUGAGAUGUUGGGUUAAGUCCCGCAACGAGCGCAACCCCUAUUGUUAGUUGCCAUCAUUUAGUUGGGCACUCUAGCGAGACUGCCGGUAAUAAACCGGAGGAAGGUGGGGAUGACGUCAAAUCAUCAUGCCCCUUAUGACCUGGGCUACACACGUGCUACAAUGGCUGGUACAACGAGUCGCAAGCCGGUGACGGCAAGCUAAUCUCUUAAAGCCAGUCUCAGUUCGGAUUGUAGGCUGCAACUCGCCUACAUGAAGUCGGAAUCGCUAGUAAUCGCGGAUCAGCACGCCGCGGUGAAUACGUUCCCGGGCCUUGUACACACCGCCCGUC
This 437-nucleotide ribosomal RNA is filed under the name uncultured Streptococcus sp. RNAcentral describes it as "bacterial SSU rRNA". It matches the Rfam family "Bacterial small subunit ribosomal RNA", at positions 960 to 1398 of the family's 1533-position model. Lineage: Bacteria; Bacillati; Bacillota; Bacilli; Lactobacillales; Streptococcaceae. The record is from RNAcentral.